GACGAACGCUGGCGGUUUGCUUAACACAUGCAAGUCGAACGGAAAGGCCCUGCUUUUGUGGGGUGCUCGAGUGGCGAACGGGUGAGUAACACGUGAGUAACCUGCCCUUGACUUUGGGAUAACUUCAGGAAACUGGGGCUAAUACCGGAUAGGAGCUCCUGCUGCAUGGUGGGGGUUGGAAAGUUUCGGCGGUUGGGGAUGGACUCGCGGCUUAUCAGCUUGUUGGUGGGGUAGUGGCUUACCAAGGCUUUGACGGGUAGCCGGCCUGAGAGGGUGACCGGCCACAUUGGGACUGAGAUACGGCCCAGACUCCUACGGGAGGCAGCAGUGGGGAAUAUUGCACAAUGGGCGGAAGCCUGAUGCAGCAACGCCGCGUGCGGGAUGACGGCCUUCGGGUUGUAAACCGCUUUCGCCUGUGACGAAGCGUGAGUGACGGUAAUGGGUAAAGAAGCACCGGCUAACUACGUGCCAGCAGCCGCGGUGAUACGUAGGGUGCGAGCGUUGUCCGGAUUUAUUGGGCGUAAAGGGCUCGUAGGUGGUUGAUCGCGUCGGAAGUGUAAUCUUGGGGCUUAACCCUGAGCGUGCUUUCGAUACGGGUUGACUUGAGGAAGGUAGGGGAGAAUGGAAUUCCUGGUGGAGCGGUGGAAUGCGCAGAUAUCAGGAGGAACACCAGUGGCGAAGGCGGUUCUCUGGGCCUUUCCUGACGCUGAGGAGCGAAAGCGUGGGGAGCGAACAGGCUUAGAUACCCUGGUAGUCCACGCUGUAAACGGUGGGUACUAGGUGUGGGGUCCAUUCCACGGGUUCCGUGCCGUAGCUAACGCUUUAAGUACCCCGCCUGGGGAGUACGGCCGCAAGGCUAAAACUCAAAGGAAUUGACGGGGCCCCGCACAAGCGGCGGAGCAUGCGGGUUAAUUCGAUGCAACGCGUAGAACCUUACCUGGGUUUGACAUGGAUCGGGAGCGCUCAGAGAUGGGUGUGCCUCUUUUGGGGUCGGUUCACAGGUGGUGCAUGGCUGUCGUCAGCUCGUGUCGUGAGAUGUUGGGUUAAGUCCCGCAACGAGCGCAACCCUUGUUCACUGUUGCCAGCACGUUAUGGUGGGGACUCAGUGGAGACCGCCGGGGUCAACUCGGAGGAAGGUGGGGAUGACGUCAAGUCAUCAUGCCCCUUAUGUCCAGGGCUUCACGCAUGCUACAAUGGCUGGUACAGAGAGUGGCGAGCCUGUGAGGGUGAGCGAAUCUCGGAAAGCCGGUCUCAGUUCGGAUUGGGGUCUGCAACUCGACCUCAUGAAGUCGGAGUCGCUAGUAAUCGCAGAUCAGCAACGCUGCGGUGAAUACGUUCCCGGG
This 1343-nucleotide ribosomal RNA is filed under the name uncultured bacterium. Its description in RNAcentral is "16S ribosomal RNA". It matches the Rfam family "Bacterial small subunit ribosomal RNA", at positions 28 to 1378 of the family's 1533-position model. The record is from RNAcentral.